Long non-coding RNA from Chiroxiphia lanceolata (lance-tailed manakin), 180 nucleotides. RefSeq lists it as uncharacterized. The transcript is spliced from 3 exons. NCBI's taxonomy places the organism in Eukaryota, Metazoa, Chordata, Aves, Passeriformes, Pipridae. The record is from RefSeq and is a predicted model, not a curated record.
UCUCCAGCCUGUCCAGGUCUCUGGGUGGCAGCACAACCCUCUGGUAUAUCAGCCUGCCAAGGGAGAAUCAAGGUGUUCUGCUGCUGAGCCAACAACCAUGUCGAACCCCCUCCUCAGGUGCCAAGCCAUGACCACCUCCCUCCCAUUAGGUAUGGUGAGAGAACUUUACACCAAUCAGAA